This is a long non-coding RNA of Xiphophorus hellerii (green swordtail), 1470 nucleotides long. RefSeq lists it as uncharacterized. The transcript has 3 exons. The record is from RefSeq and is a predicted model, not a curated record. NCBI's taxonomy places the organism in Eukaryota, Metazoa, Chordata, Actinopteri, Cyprinodontiformes, Poeciliidae.
CAUAUUGAGGUAAGUGUAACCCAGGUGUCCGCCAUGACCCAAUCACCUUCCCUUUAAGCUGUCCCUUUAAGUUUAUUGUCUUGUGUGCUUCCGGGUUUUGUUUUUUCUUCCCCACCUUGCUGCUACUCACUGUUGGUUGUCAUGUUGGUUGUUUAUAAAACAACCUGGAGUUUCUGAAUCGACUCAUCACUCAUUUAAUCUCUAAAACUUGAAGAUUGCGGUUGUGAUCCAUUGAGAGCUGGUAAACCUUCCUGUUUCGAGCAAGUUAUCAUUUCACCCACCUCCUCAGAUAAUCCGUUACUCGACGGCGAGUAGAUAAUAGGGCGUUAUUUUCGCUCUGCUCCGCCAGUUAGCAUUAGCAUUAGCUCUGAUCCAUCUACAAUCAGUGGCCCACAUCAGUUUAGUCUACUUAUUAAUUACUUACUUAUUGAAGAAUCACACUGUUGCAGCCGAAUUAAAGACCACACCUUUAAUAUUUAAGGGUUUACCUUUCAACUUUAGAUUUGAUUAUUUUUUCCAUGAUUUCUUUAUUGGUGUUGCAGUCCAUGUUGGUGCAGCAAUGAAAUUUGGUACCUAAUAUGAUUUAGUUUGUAGCUACUUUGAUCAAUCACAUUUGUAAGUUGAUUGAUUUGAUUCAAUAUUGGUUGUUUGUAACGACUGCUAAUUAUAUUAUUUAGGCAAUUUUGAACUUGAAUUAUGAAGUGCACUUUUUUAAAAAAGGAUUUAAAUUUUUCUUUUUAUCUUCUCCUUUCUUUUUUAUUUUUUCUAUGAAGUUGUUAAAAUAUAGCAAGUACGUAUUCAAUUGUUUUCUUGUCCCUCCCAUUUAGUUUAUAUAAAUAUAAUGUUUAUAUAUGAACUUAAUGUGUGUUAUCUGGCCUUUUAGGUCAGGUUUUUUUUCCCCUUUGCAUUGACUCAUUUGAUGACGGAAGAUGGCGAGCUACCCACCCACCAUCUGGUGGUAGGAAAAUGGAACUACACUUUCCCUACAGGAAACGAACUAAACUCUGAGUAUUGAAAAGGGAAAAUAAUUAUUUUCUAUUUGUUCUUGGAUCUUUUGUGGACUCUAUUACGUUUGAAGUAUCACUGAUUAUUAUUAUAAUUGUUUUUUGUUGGUUUGUUGUUUUCCUCUUCUGUUUUUUUGGAAAUUUAUUGUUUUGUUGUUUUGGUAUUAUUAUUAUUAUUGCCACUGCAAUAAAUAGCAAUAUUAACAAACUUUACUUUUUUGUAUCAGUUGUAUUAAUUAUUCACCCCACUCAUGACUCCGUGCCGUACCUACUUCUGAUUAUACAAACUGGUUAACACUAAACCUCGCAGUCAAAUCUGCUCAGUUGAGAAAAGCGCUACAUACAGGACAUUUACAUUCUGGAGAAGUUCUUUUUCUGUUCAAGGUCGAAGGGAAUCGUUCUUCAGGAUCUGGUCUAAAUGGACAAACUAUGUAAAAUCAGUAAUUCCUGUGGACUAAAUAUGUUU